AGUUUGCUCAACUCUUAUCUGGCUUUUGAAGGCUAGUUAAGCUUGGUUGGAUGAUGGAAGUUGCUGGCUUCUGAUGAUAAAUCAGCUCUUCUUAAAUGUGUUAGCAGACCUUUUGCUGAUCGUCUUUGGUAUGAUAAAUUAUCUAUACCACAGACAAUUGGUUUGGAUGGGGUUUAGCUUAUAAAGGUCUUUUUUUUCUGUGGACAACUUGACAAU
RNAcentral lists this unclassified non-coding RNA (216 nucleotides) under uncultured Entolomataceae. RNAcentral describes it as "sequence contains ITS2". Lineage: Eukaryota; Fungi; Basidiomycota; Agaricomycetes; Agaricales; Entolomataceae. The record is from RNAcentral.